RNAcentral lists this long non-coding RNA (883 nucleotides) under Triticum aestivum (bread wheat). RNAcentral's name for it is "long non-coding RNA (TAES_LNC018387)". The record is from RNAcentral. Lineage: Eukaryota; Viridiplantae; Streptophyta; Magnoliopsida; Poales; Poaceae.
AUCCACUCAUCCUCUCGCUCGGGUCUCACCUGCCUCGCCUCUGCCUCUUGCUCGCGCUGCCGCAUCCUUGCUCCGGCGAACCCCACCACCAGCCACGCAGGGAGCUGCAACCGGAGGACAGGGGAGCUGUAACCGGCCACUCCGGGAGCUGCAACCGGCAGGCAGAGGAGCUACAAGCCGGGAACCAAACCGCCGACCGUCGUGCUAGAAACAGCACGCAAGGGUGCUACAACCGGCAGAUCAAAGAGCUAUAACUGCGGUUAGUUUUUGCUGGGACCGGUGAGAAAUUUCGCUGCAUCCAUUGACGGUGAGCCUUUCUUUGCUGGAACCGGCUUUCUUUUUAGCUGGAACCAUGUUUUUGUUUUGCUGGAAUCUUGUCAUGCUUGCUAGUAGCUUGCAGCUCUGGCGAGAACACACAUCUGCUCGCCACGGACGACGAUCUGCACGAUCCACUCCGCUCGCAGGAGAGGGCAACCACCAUCAGAAGAUGCUGCAACCUCGGCGCGGCGGAGCUACAAGCGUAGGCCCGGAAGCUGCAACCAGCCAGACAAAUAAUGGAACCGGCGACAGCCGUGCUGCGACGGCGACAGCGGUGGUCCACCAUUGCUGGAACCAGCUACUUUUUUUGCUGGAACCACCAUUAAGUUUUGCUGGAACAGCUUUUUUUGUUGCUACAAUCAACUAGUGUGUUUUGCUGCUGAGUUUUUUUUGCUGGAACCAGCAUUUGUGAUUGCUGGAACAGCCUUUUUGUUUGCUACAAUCGUCUUCCUCAGAUUUGUACUGCUGAGAUUAUUUUUGUUGGAAACGUCAUCAAUUUUUGCUACCAUUGUAAUCUUGUUUUGCUGGAACCAGCAUUUUUUCCAAGGAUCCAACUAGAUGUGAC